Molecule: transfer RNA, 100 nt
Filed under: Planctomycetota bacterium
Lineage: Bacteria; Pseudomonadati; Planctomycetota
Description: Planctomycetes bacterium (groundwater metagenome) tRNA-Sec
Rfam family: Selenocysteine transfer RNA
Source: RNAcentral
GGAAGUGCUUGUACACCUGGUGGUGGCCGCGGUCUUCAAAACCGUUGUGCGGCGCGUCAACCGCGUCGCAGGUGGGUUCGAUUCCCAUGCACUUCCGCCA